This 429-nucleotide ribosomal RNA is filed under the name Bacteroidota bacterium. Its description in RNAcentral is "Bacteroidetes bacterium partial 16S ribosomal RNA". It matches the Rfam family "Bacterial small subunit ribosomal RNA", at positions 355 to 776 of the family's 1533-position model. Lineage: Bacteria; Pseudomonadati; Bacteroidota. The record is from RNAcentral.
UAGGGAAUCUUCCGCAAUGGACGCAAGUCUGACGGAGCAACGCCGCGUGAGUGAAGAAGGAUUUCGGUUCGUAAAACUCUGUUGUUAGAGAAGAACAGCGCAUAGAGUAACUGUUAUGCGUGUGACGGUAUCUAAUCAGAAAGCCACGGCUAACUACGUGCCAGCAGCCGCGGUAAUACGUAGGUGGCAAGCGUUAUCCGGAAUUAUUGGGCGUAAAGCGCGCGUAGGCGGUUUUUUAAGUCUGAUGUGAAAGCCCACGGCUCAACCGUGGAGGGUCAUUGGAAACUGGAAAACUUGAGUGCAGAAGAGGAAAGUGGAAUUCCAUGUGUAGCGGUGAAAUGCGCAGAGAUAUGGAGGAACACCAGUGGCGAAGGCGACUUUCUGGUCUGUAACUGACGCUGAUGUGCGAAAGCGUGGGAAUCAAACAGG